This 5784-nucleotide long non-coding RNA is filed under the name Sus scrofa (pig). RNAcentral describes it as "lncRNA (ENSSSCG00025044798.1)". Lineage: Eukaryota; Metazoa; Chordata; Mammalia; Artiodactyla; Suidae. The record is from RNAcentral.
AUGGAGUUCCCAUCAUGAGUCAGCGGUGCCAAACCUGACUAGUGUCCAUGAGGGCAUGGGUUCAAUCCCUGGCCUUGAUCAGUGGGCUAAGGAUCCAGCAUUGCUGUGACCUGUGGUGUAGGUCACAGACAUGCCUCAGAUCCUGUGUUGCUGUGGCUAUGGCGUAGGCUGGCAGCUGCAGCUCCGAUUCAACCCCUAGCCGGAGAAGUUUUGUGUGCUGCGGGUGCGGCCAUGAAAAAAAAAUAAGAAAGAAAGAAAGAAAGAGAGAGAGAGAGAGGGAGAGAGAGAGAGAGAGAGAGAGAGAGAGAGAGAGAAACCAAAUGCAUUGUAUAAAUCAGUGCUGUCCCAGUGCAAAAAUUUUAAAUCCUUGCACAAGGUAGAAAAAAAAAUCUCCACUUUCAGCAGUCUAGAAAGCUCUUAAGAAUAGGUCCUAUAUGAGUUUUAGCCCACUGUCAGCAUUCAGCAAAUGAUCACAUCUUCUGUGAUAUCAUGAGUUCCCAGAUGGAUGAAAGCGAAAAGCUUCCCUGCUCCUCCUGAAACUUUCAAUUACUCUUUCUGUUUUUCUUUCUCAGCUUAUCCACAUCCAUCUUGGUCCCCAAAGCCAUUGCAUGUCAGAUAGUCAGUGCAAAGAGUAAUUUUUAAUUUGCUUCUUUGUUGUUUUAGAAGGAUUCUUUUGUUGUUUUGUUUCCUUUUGGUUUGGUUGCUUUUUCUUGGUCUCAGGCUUUCUACCAAGGGAGUAUCUCAUCGUUAUGGUCCAUGCAUUCUCCUAGACAGGAUGAAAAGCAAAGUUUAAUGUGUGCCUACUAAGUGAUGACGAGCUAUAGCUUCCUAUUUAUGAAGAUAACACCACCGGUUAUUAACUAAUCAGGAAGAAAUAGCUGCAACUCAAAGGGGUUUGUGCCUUUCCCAAGUCAGGAUAAUAGUGACCUGGCUCUAUGCCUUUCCUACCAAUCCUGUUACCUCACUUGGCUUUGCCCCACCUCAACUCCUGCCUAGGACCUCCACGAUCUACCCUUAUAACCGACAUGCACACUUUACUGGAUCACAGUUGCUUGGAACUCCCCAUCUGAGUGGGAGUUGAUUGCCUGCCCCCUAAGGAUAGGGGCCAGCUUAGCCAGGAGAUCAACUAAGAUGAGAGAAUGGCAAGACAAAUAGCCUAAUAGGUGAUACAGAGUGUAUUCCUCCUCAUACUCCCAAUUCUAAGCCUUUUUUAAAAGGUAGGACAUGGUCAACUCAGGUGCCCUUUUGAUACUGGAGUAUGUCCUUGCAUUUGAUAUCAUCCCCUCCUUCUGAUAACAAAGCUUCAUCUUUUCUAUAAGUCCCAGGCCUAUGGAUGGUUCUAGCCUUACAAUGCCUUAAGUGAUGACUUCCCUAAGCAUUGAGUAUUGUGUAACUCCAUGUAUUACAUGUAGAAAAUCUCAUCUUGUUGGAGAAGAAUGAUCUCUCUAUUUUUUAUUUUUAUAACUAUAUGGUAGCAAAGAAGUGUGUCAUAUACUUUCUUUGGUAAUGACUUAAGGUCACAAACCACUUUGGGCAAUUAAUAUGUUUUAAGGAUAAAGAAGAACUUGUAUUUCCUGAAGAUUAAGAAAACUAUCUAUCUGAAAGAUAGAGCCACCCAGUACUAAUCUAUAAAUAAAGUGCUUUAUCAAAUAAAGUUCAGAUUAAUUAUUUUCCUUCACUCUUAUAUCAACACUGCAAACUUUUCUGCCAAAAAAAUCAUCAAGUAAUAGAGAAAAAUGAACCCUAGAUAGAGCAGAAGGGGCCAAACAUAAGCAUAGCAAAAGUUCAAGGUGUAAAUAUAUUUAUAGCUAAAAAGAUAAAUUGUGGUCAUUUUUGUGUGUAUUUAUAUAUACACAUAUAGAGAGAGAGAUGGGGGAGUAAGAGGAAGAAAUUUUCUCCUUUUUUUUUUUUUUUUUUUUUUUUUGUCUUUUCUAGGGCCACAUCCACAGCAUAUGGAGGUUCCCAGGCUAGGCGUAAAAUUGGAGCUGUAGCUGCCAGCCUACACCACAGCCACAGCAAUUCUGGAUCCAAGCUGUGUCUUUGACCUACACCACAGCUCAAGGCAACACCAAAUCCUUAACUCCACUGAGCAAGGCCAGGGAUUGAACCUGUGUCCUCAAGGAAGAAAGUUUCUUAACGGCAGGCCUGUGAUACAUACCCUGGGGAGUGAGGGGCAUGAAAGACCUUCACUCAACAGACCACCUUAUAAACAUGUUAAUGACCUCCCAGACCCCCUUGUUAAUCUUGUUAGUGGUAUUUAACUAGCAGAAAGAUACCUGAAAGUCCCUAUCCUAUAAAAGAUUUUUAGCGGGAUAUACCUGGUCUGGCUACUUGACUUACUGUAAAUAAACCAAGAAUUUAUGUACUUACGAGUAUGACUGGAUGGAAAAUAGGGCACAGUCAUGUGAGCAUUUUCGUAUUUUUGUCAUUAAUAGAUGAUAAAAUGGAAACCUUUGGAAACUGAAAUGGCUUCCUUCCAAUAUCACUAUCUAUGCAUAAAUGUUUUGAAAUGUUUCUACUAAUUUGAAACCAAAACAUAUCAUAAUGUAAAAGAGUAGAGAUAUUUGGGGGCAGUGUAUCUGAUUAUUUCAGGUUCCUCCAGAGGAAGAAUGUUUUAUCUGUGCCUGGAGUUUCCCUAUUAUCCUUUGAUUCAUUAGUAAAGAUCAGUACUAGAUAAAAUCUAUGAUUCAUGUGAGUACAAUUUGAAAUUGAACCCUUUAUACUUAUGCAAUGUAUAUUUAUUUUAACUUUGCUAUAAUAAAAAGAGAAGAAAAGAAGAAUGAAUGGGUCCAUAUAUUUUCCCUUAUCGUGUUGUUGCCAGUUCUAGGAAAUCACAGGUCUAAGUAAAGGUCAGGAUCAAGACCAGUGAGAGAUAAAACACUUAGACAUUUCUAUAUUGAAAAUUAUAUAAAUGACAUUUAAUUUUUUAAAGUUAUCUUAAAAUGGUUUUUUGAGAUAUCAAGGACCACUGUAAAUACCUUGAAGCCCUAAGUCAUCUUUAUUGUUUGUUUGUUUGUUUGUUUUGUCUUUUUAGGGCCACACGCAUGGCAUAUGGAGGUUCCCAGGCUAGGGGUCUAAUCAGAGCUGUAGCCGCCAGCCUACACCACAGCCACAGAAAUGCCAGAUCAGAGCCAGGUCUGCUACCUACACCACAGCUCAUGGCAACACCGGCUCCUUAACCCACUGAGCGGGGGCAGGGAUUGAACCUGCAAUCUCAUGGUUCCUAGUCAGAUUUGUUUCCACUGCACCAUGACGGGAACUCCCUACUGUUUAUUACCUCUUGAAAUAUUUUUGGUAAUUUGCAGAUCCCUUGUUUCCCUAAUUAAGCUGUAAACUCCUUGACAAUGCUUGUGCAUUAUGCAUCUUUGCACCAUCCUUAGCACUUUAUUAUCUCAUACAUAAGAAAUUGAUAAUGAAUACUUAAUAAUUUGUUUUGUUUGAUUUUGAGGAUUAAGCGCAUUCUUGGCAAUUUACCUCUGAUCCUAAUAGGCAGUUUUAUAUUUAUUUAUUUUUAUUUUUAUUUUCCCACUGUACAGCAAGGGGGUCAGGUUAUCCUUACAUGUAUAAUAGGCAGUUUUAUAAAGGAAUAGAUAAUAACAGAUUAGAGGUGUUCCAUAUAAUGUUUUUAUUCUAAGUAAGCUAACUGAAAUUACAGUUGACUAAAUGAUAUUUUGGAAUCAAUUUUGACCAUUGGUUCAUUCAUUUUCUUUGUUUCAUUUGGCUGAGGGCAGAGAGAAGUACUUAAUGUGAUGGGAUGCCUGGUUGAACUGUCUAUAAACCAAAAAUCUUUGAAAAUCACUGUUUUUAAAGAAAGCAUUUUAAGUGAAUGUAUUCCUAUAGUAGUUCCUUGCCAAAACUGUUGUGAGGAUAUCUAGGAAAAUGUCUUCAAAUUCUAUUUCUCUCAAAAUGCACAGGUUACUUGAGGAGCUAAGGUUGUUCAGUGAGCUCAUGUCAGCUUAUGUCUUAAUAUUAAAAGAUUUUGAAAGAGGUUGGAAUGAGGUAGGUGGUAGAAUCUGAGAGAGACAUGACAGCAGAGUCAUAGGCAUCCAGUGGGGAAAAAAAGAUCUCAAGUUUGGAAUUUAAUUAUAUUCACCCAGUUCCUGCCAUUUGCUGAUAAGUAUUAAUGUCAUUUAUCAAGCACAGAAAAUAGAUUAAAUGCAUAAAUGUCUAAUAUUGAUAAAAAAAAAGAUAUCCAUGGCUUUUUUUUUUUCAAAUACAGCUUAGUUUUAUUGUUGUUGUUUUGCUAGGGGGGGAAGUCUUCUCAUUGUAUCUUUUCUUUUUUUGUGUGUCUUUUUAGGGCUGCACCUGUGGCAUAUGGAAGUUCCAAGGCUAGGGGUUAAAUUGGAGCUGCAGCUGCCCGCCUACACCACAACCACAGCAACACCAGAUCCGAGCUACAUCUGCGACCUACACCACAGCUCAUGCUAAUGCUGGAUCCUUAACCUACUGAGCAAGGCCAUGUAUGAAACCCGAGUCCUCAUGAAUACUAGUUGCACUUGUCACCGCUGAGCCAUGACACGACCUCCUAAUUAUAUUUUUCAAAAUAGAUUUUAUUGUCAAGGAACUUACAGUUGUUUAUCUAACUCGUUAUUUCAUAGACUCGGCCACCAAACUGUUUUUUUUUUACUAUAAGCACUGCAGAGUAGCAAAAAUCAUCCUUACUCUGUCAGCCUUGUUCAUCAUCAACAAAAUUGCCAGUUAUAUUCCAAGUCCUUGAGUGUAUUCCUUGAGAAGAGGAUAUAUAAACAGAAAAGAAACAGCUCAAUGUUGAGGUAGAAGUUUGAUCUUUCUCUACUAGCUGGUAGAUUCAAAGCAUAGUAAUCUUGUUUUGACUCGUGAACUGGAAAAAAUUAAUAUGGGAGGAUGGAGAAAACAUGUUCAAACUGCAAAGUCAUUUUUCCUGAGAAGUUAUCUGACUGUAACUUUAACUAAAACUAAGAGUAUAUCAGAGGGCUCAGAUGUGGAAUAUUUCUUUAAAAUUAAAACCUAGGAAUCCUGAUGUCCAAUAGAAUGUAUAAAAAUAGCUGCAUCUGAAGGCUCUGGGAUAAGCACAGAAAUAUUGAAUAACAUCUGGUAAUUUGGGCCAUACCUUUAUAAUAGUUGCUGUGGUCCCAAAAAUAUAGAAUUAAUUCAAUAAAACACUGGGAAAAUAUAAACAUAAAAUAUUUGAAAUUAAAAAUACUGAAUAAGAACAGGGAAAAAUAAUUCCCCAGCAGAUCAAUAUUGCUUGGGGAAGCAUGAAUCCCAGACCAGAAAUAUUUUUAUCCAAAUAACGUCUAGUUCUGUAGUGAACAAAAACUUUUAUCACCAAAUUUCAUAAACAGUAAUGUGAAGAAAACUAUACUUAGGAUUAUUGGAUAUACUUCUCAAAGAUGGUAAGUUUAUUCAGUUUCAUGCUUGAUUCUAUCAACUUCUGCUGAAUUUAUUCAUAGUACUCUGUCAACUGAGGAUUCUUUUUUUUCCUCUUGUCCUUGCCUAAAUAUAUGUAUUACAAAAUAAAAAUAAAGAUGUAAAUAAUUACAAAGAUUGGGAGUUCCCUUCAUGGCUCAGUGGUUAAGGAACCUGACUAUUAUCCAUGAGGAUGCAGUUCAAUCCCUGGCCUUGCUCAGUGGGUCAAGAAUCUGGCAUUGCCGUGAGCUGUUGUGUAGGUCGCAGAUGUGGCUCAGAUCCCAUAUUGCUGUGGCUGUAGUGUAGGCUUGCAUCUACAGCUUCAAUUUGACCCCUAGCCUGGGAACUUUCAUAUGCCAUAGUUGUGGCUCUAAAAAGACAAAAGACAAAAAAAAA